GAUGAACGCUGGCGGCGUGCUUAACACAUGCAAGUCGAACGAUGAAGCCCAGCUUGCUGGGUGGAUUAGUGGCGAACGGGUGAGUAACACGUGAGUAACCUGCCCUUAACUCUGGGAUAAGCCUGGGAAACUGGGUCUAAUACCGGAUAGGAGCGUCCACCGCAUGGUGGGUGUUGGAAAGAUUUAUCGGUUUUGGAUGGACUCGCGGCCUAUCAGCUUGUUGGUGAGGUAAUGGCUCACCAAGGCGACGACGGGUAGCCGGCCUGAGAGGGUGACCGGCCACACGGGGACUGAGACACGGCCCAGACUCCUACGGGAGGCAGCAGUGGGGAAUAUGGCACAAUGGGCGCAAGCCUGAUGCAGCGACGCCGCGUGAGGGAGGACGGCCUUCGGGUUGUAAACCUCUUUCAGUAGGGAAGAAGCGAAAGUGACGGUACCUGCAGAAGAAGCACCGGCUAACUACGU
This 465-nucleotide ribosomal RNA is filed under the name uncultured bacterium. Its description in RNAcentral is "partial 16S ribosomal RNA". It matches the Rfam family "Bacterial small subunit ribosomal RNA", at positions 28 to 506 of the family's 1533-position model. The record is from RNAcentral.